CUUAGCUCAUGGAACAGCACAAACAUCCCUUUGGUGUUUAAAAUACAGUAAAACACUUCCCAGAGAGGAAGAAUUUGCCUGCAGCUGAGCACUCUGCUUCUUUUCAAGGUAGCCACAAUGCUGUUGCUCCAUGAAGUGACCUCUGUUUGGUGUCACCUGAAAGAUGGGUCAAGAGCAGUUGUUAUGUGCUGAUCGCAGGGAGAUUAUUCUCUGGGGAGAGAUGUGCCCUACUCACCAGGGCCCGAGGAAUGCCUGUGUUUGUCUGUCUGGCAUUUGCUGUGGAACAUUCUUGGAAGGCACAACCAGAAGGAGCUGCCCCUCAAUGUGUGUGGCAGUGCCUCUGAUUUGGAACACACCAGACACUCUUCUCUCGGUUGUCAUCAAAACUAUCAUGUCCACUGGCAUCUUGAGGUUAAAUUGUGCUCUCUGAUGGACAAUUUUUGCCUUCUUUUGUUCCAAAUGAUGACACUGAAUUUGUACCAUUUUCCUGGAAAUAUUUCUUUGUACUUAAAGAAAAAUAAAAUCAAGACUAAAGAAGAAGUUGGUUGGCA
This 551-nucleotide long non-coding RNA is filed under the name Parus major (Great Tit). Its description in RNAcentral is "lncRNA (ENSPMJG00000000969.1)". Lineage: Eukaryota; Metazoa; Chordata; Aves; Passeriformes; Paridae. The record is from RNAcentral.